CCCCCCUCCAGUUUAUUUUAUAAAAGUAUCAAACUGGGUCAAUGACGCCACAGAUUAUGAAGAAAAAAACAAUUUAAAACAAAUAGUUGUGCUUGAAAUCAUUUUUCAAAACAUUUUAUUGGUCUUAUAGAAAAUAAAGUAAGCUGUAUCAACAAAACAUACAAUAUAUACAUCAAUAACUUAGACACCUCAGAGAAUCACAUUUAUCCACAGUUUUUACUGUAUAUAUAGUACUUAUCUACAGAUUGCAAAAAGUACAAUAAUUUAAUUUAUAAAUAGUUACAAUGAACUAUCGUUUGUUUUCAUACAAAGUACUGCAAUAUUUCAUCUAAACCCAUACAGAAAAAUAAUAAAAACAGAUUUCCAUUUCCUCUAAAAAAGGCCAACCUUCUCCUCAGAGGAACCUGAACUGUUUUCAAAGCUGAAUCACAAGAAAAAAAAGUCAACGUCUUGAGAUCUGUUCAAUUCAACUGCCGCACAAGUGCUGUAAUGUGUCCUCUCGAACGUGUUGCUGAUAAGAAAACAACAAAAAAGCCUUAACCUAUUAAAAAUGAAAUCUGCAGAACAAAUUCCAGUGUUAAGAUCAAUUUCAGACCCACUCGACACGCGAUGAGAACGGAAUCGCUGCGGAUGAAACUACAGCAAACAACGAGCAAUAAUGAGUGGAGCAGCAGCAGAGGAACCUCGGACGUACAAAACACGCACACACCAAAGAACAGACAAUAUUGCAAGUGGCCCUUGUGACAGAAUCUACUGUAGCAUCUAUUUCACUCAGUGCACAAACAUUUACAUGACAGAAAUAUCCUUCAGUCAAGUUAAAUUAACGGAUCGGGUAAAAUCAUCUAAUUCAAGACCAGCGCAAUUAGUGAGUAAGGCUGUGAGUGCAACUGUCCCACGGUUCCACACUUUUACAGCGUUUAACACGUCUACUAUGAACAAGGGCCAAUUGCUCCUCCAUUUAGGGAAUUCAAAAUCUGAGGGAAUUUUUUUUAAAAGAAAUAACAUAUGUUUACGAAAGGAAUCGACCUACAGAACAGCAGGAAUUAUUGCAUAACAGAGCAUAGUCACUUUGACAAUAUUGAUUACUCUUACAUCUACUCCUGCACACCUUUUCCACUGAGUUGCAUAUUAAGGGUCACUUUUUCACAAUGGUCAUUAAUACCUACUGUAGCUACAUACUAUACAACUGUAUGCGUGAGCAAAUAGAGAGUUUUAUGGGUCAACGGUGCAGUUUGGGGGAAAAAAAAAAAAAAAACGUUAAAAAAGGAUUCACUCCACAAGACUGCCGACAGCGGAAUAAGGACGCCAACAUCAACACCGGGCUUUGU
This is a long non-coding RNA of Gasterosteus aculeatus aculeatus (three-spined stickleback), 1328 nucleotides long. The record is from Ensembl. Lineage: Eukaryota; Metazoa; Chordata; Actinopteri; Perciformes; Gasterosteidae.